AUACGGAGGGUGCAAGCGUUACUCGGAAUCACUGGGCGUAAAGCGCGCGCAGGCGGCUAUUUAAGUUGGAUGUGAAAGCCUACGGCUCAACCGUAGAACUGCAUCCAAAACUAUUUAGCUAGAGUGUGGGAGAGGAGGAUGGAAUUAGUUGUGUAGGGGUAAAAUCCGUAGAGAUAACUAGGAAUACCAAAAGCGAAGGCAAUCUUCUGGAACACUACUGACGCUGAGGCGCGAAAGCGUGGGGAGCAAACAGGAUUAGAUACCCUAGUAGUCC
This 274-nucleotide ribosomal RNA is filed under the name uncultured bacterium. RNAcentral describes it as "partial 16S ribosomal RNA". It matches the Rfam family "Bacterial small subunit ribosomal RNA", at positions 523 to 796 of the family's 1533-position model. The record is from RNAcentral.